This 362-nucleotide ribosomal RNA is filed under the name uncultured bacterium. RNAcentral's name for it is "bacterial SSU rRNA". It matches the Rfam family "Bacterial small subunit ribosomal RNA", at positions 954 to 1312 of the family's 1533-position model. The record is from RNAcentral.
AUGGGAACGCGAAGAACCUUACCUACUCUUGACAUCCAGAGAACUUAGCAGAGAUGCUUUGGUGCCUUCGGGAACUCUGAGACAGGUGCUGCAUGGCUGUCGUCAGCCCGUGUUGUGAAAUGUUGGGUUAAAGUCCCGCAACGAGCGCAACCCUUAUCCUUUGUUGCCAGCGGUUCGGUCGGGAACUCAAAGGAGACUGCCAGUGAUAAACUGGAGGAAGGUGGGGAUGACGUCAAGUCAUCAUGGCCCUUACGAGUAGGGCUACACACGUGCUACAAUGGCGCAUAACAAAGAAGAAGCGACCUCGCGAGAGCAAGCGGACCUCAUAAAGUGCGUCGUAGUCCGGAUUGGAGUCUGCAACU